GAUGAACGCUGGCGGCGUGCUUAACACAUGCAAGUCGAACGGAAAGGCCCAAGCUUGCUUGGGUACUCGAGUGGCGAACGGGUGAGUAACACGUGGGUGAUCUGCCCUGCACUUCGGGAUAAGCCUUGGAAACUGGGUCUAAUACCGGAUAGGACCACAUUUUGGAUGGUGUGGUGGAAAGUUUUUCGGUGUGGGAUGAGCUCGCGGCCUAUCAGCUUGUUGGUGGGGUAAUGGCCUACCAAGGCGUCGACGGGUAGCCGGCCUGAGAGGGUGUACGGCCACAUUGGGACUGAGAUACGGACCAGACUCCUACGGGAGGCAGCAGUGGGGAAUAUUGCACAAUGGGCGCAAGCCUGAUGCAGCGACGCCGCGUGGGGGAUGACGGCCUUCGGGUUGUAAACUCCUUUCGCUAGGGACGAAGCGCAAGUGACGGUACCUGGAGAAGAAGCACCGGCUAACUACGUG
Molecule: ribosomal RNA, 465 nt
Filed under: uncultured bacterium
Lineage: Bacteria
Description: partial 16S ribosomal RNA
Rfam family: Bacterial small subunit ribosomal RNA
Source: RNAcentral